Molecule: long non-coding RNA, 2542 nt
Organism: Hypanus sabinus (Atlantic stingray)
Lineage: Eukaryota; Metazoa; Chordata; Chondrichthyes; Myliobatiformes; Dasyatidae
Exons: 2
Source: RefSeq, a predicted model, not a curated record
CCCACACAUUCUCUUCUCCUAUCAGAUCAUUUCUUUAGACCUUGAUCUUUCUCACCCACCUAGCUUCACCUAUCACCUUCCAACUAGUCUCUCCCCUCUCUCCCCCUUUUUAUUCCAACACCUUUCCCCUUCCUUCUCAAUCCUGAUGUAGCCUGAAACGCUGACUGUCUUUUUGAUAGAUGCUGCCUGAGCAGAUUUCCUCUAGCAUUUUGUGUGACCAGCCAAUUAAAUGCGCAUGCAUAAAGAACUCACAAACUUUUCCUAUGAGUUCCAGAAGAAUGCUCAUGUGCUCAGUGGUCGAAAGGUUCUUGGGGUCUCGGUAACCGGUGUGAGUGGGGGUUUGGGGAGAGUUUCAUCAGCGCCAGCAUCCAAACUUCAACUGAGGGAAAAUUACUGAGAGCUCUGGACACACUGUGGCUCCACUUCCUGGGCCAUUCCCAGUCCUUUACCUCUUUCUCAGUCCUAUGAUCCAUACCUGAGCCCCAGGGAGCUUGCUUUGGAUGAACCAAGUUGCUGAUUGAUGGCCUUUUCUGUGGUGCGUGCGCUUUGCUGGGACUGUGGCUGAUAGACUGGUCUCUCCAUGGGGAUUCUGGGUAAUGGGGCAGCCAUAGGUUUUCUCCGCCAGUUUAUAGGGUGUGUUUGGAAGCGUAGGGAGAGGGAAUGAAAGCGGAUGGAUCUCCCCAAAGACCACAGAGCUCCAGAUGUCUUAAUCCAAUGAUUAGGAACACGGAAUGAAAAUAUAGUUCCCAAUUAGUCUUGGAUGAAGAGUUUACCUUCCAGUCAAUGAAAAUGUCAAUUAGAGAUGCAUGAGGAAAAAAAUAACAAAAUCCUUCCAUUAGUUCUUGAGGAAAAUCACCUUUGUUCUACCUCCUCUUGUAUUGGGCCUAUGACUGUGUGGUUAAGCACAGCUCCAACAGCAUAUUUACUUUUGCUGAUGGCACCACCAUUGUGGGUAAGAUCAAAGUUGGUGAUGAAUCAGCAUGGGUAAGAUCAAAGUUGGUGAUGAAUCAGCAUUCAGGAGGGAGGUCGAAAAUUUGGCAGAGUGGUGGCAUAGCCACAACCUCUCCCUCAAUAUCAGCAAGAGCAAGGAAAUGAUUGCAGAUUUCAGGAGAGAGAAACCAGGAGUGAGCCAGUGCAACACAAAACACUGGAGGAACUUGGUAGGUUAGGCAGUAUUUUGAUGAAAGAUCUCAGCCUGAAAUGUUGACUGUUUAUUAACUUCCAUAGAUGCUGCCUGACCUGCUGAGUUCCUCCAGCUUAUUGUGUGUGUGUUUCCUUGGAUUUGCAGCAUAUGCAGAUUUUCUCAUGUCCACGACCCAGUCCUCAUCAGAGGAUCAGGCAUGCAGAGAGUUAGCAACUUUAAAUUCCUGGAUAUUACUAUCAGGGGAUCCAUUCUGUCCUGGACCCAAAAUGUAAGUGUAGUUGCUAAGAAAGCAUGGCAGUGCCUUUGCUUCCUUUGGAGUUUGUGGAAAUUUGGCAUGACAUCUGAAACUUUGACAGACAUCUAUAGAUGUGUAGUGGAUAUUGUAUUGACUGGCUGCAUCAUGGCCUGGUAUGGAAAUAUCGAUGCCUUUGAAUGGAAAAUCCUACAGAAUGUAGAUGGAUUCAGCCCGGUACAUCACAGGUAAAGCCCUUCCUAUCAUCAGGCAAAUCUACAUGAAAGCAGCAACCAUCAUUAGAGAUCUCCACCAACCAGGACAUGCUCUUUUCUUACUGCUGCCAACAGGUAGAGGUUCAAGAGCCUCCGGAUUCACACCACCACGUUCAAGAACAGUUAUAGUACUACCCCACAUCAUCAGUCUCUUGAACAAAAGGGAUAACUACAUUCACUUGCCGAUCUAUUGAGAGGUUUCCACAACCAAUGAUCUCACUUUAAAGACACUAUCUUGUUAUGUUCUUGUUAUUUAUUUGAAUUUGCAUUUGCAGUUUGUUGUCUACUGCACCCUGGUGGAUUUUUCAUUGAUCCUAUUGAUCCUACUCUGAUUUUUAAAUCUUGGAGACAGACCUGACUGAAAGAAACGAACUGAUGAACCAUCUUGGAUCGCAAGACCCUGCAGCGGAUAGUGAGGUCAACUGAGAAGAUCAUCAGGGUCUCUCUUCCUGCCAUCACAGACAUUUACACUACGCACUGCAUCUGCAAAGGAAGCAGGAUUAUGAAGGACCCCAUGCACCCCUCAUACAAUCUCUUCUCCCUCCUGCCAUCUGGGAAAAGGCUCUGAAGCAUUCGGGCUCUCACGACUAGACUAUAUAACAGUUUCUUCCCCCAAGCUAUCAGACUCCUCAAUACCCGAAGCCUGGACUGACACCUUGCCCUACUGUCCUGUUUAUUAUUUAUUGCAAUGCCUGCACUGUUUUUGUGCACUUUAUGCAAUCCAGUGUAGGUCUGUAGUCUAGUGUAGCUUUCUCUGUGUUUUUUUUAUUACACAGUUCAGUCUACUUUUUUGUACUGUGUCAUGUAGCACCAUGGUCCUGAAAAAUGUUGUCUCUUUUUGCACUGUACCAGCAGUUAUGGUCGAAAUGACAAUAAAAGUUGACGACUUGA